This 690-nucleotide ribosomal RNA is filed under the name uncultured Acidobacteriota bacterium. RNAcentral's name for it is "bacterial SSU rRNA". It matches the Rfam family "Bacterial small subunit ribosomal RNA", at positions 15 to 737 of the family's 1533-position model. The record is from RNAcentral. Lineage: Bacteria; Pseudomonadati; Acidobacteriota.
GAUCCUGGCUCAGAAUCAACGCUGGCGGCGUGCCUAACACAUGCAAGUCGAACGAGAAAGUGGAGCAAUCCAUGAGUAAAGUGGCGCACGGGUGAGUAACACGUGACUAACCUACCCUUGAGUGGGGGAUAACCUCGGGAAACCGGGGCUAAUACCGCAUAAUACCUACGGGUCAAAGGAGCAAUUCGCUUUAGGAGGGGGUCGCGGCAGAUUAGUUAGUUGGCGGGGUAAUGGCCCACCAAGACGGUGAUCUGUAUCCGGCCUGAGAGGGCGCACGGACACACUGGAACUGAAACACGGUCCAGACUCCUACGGGAGGCAGCAGUGGGGAAUUUUGCGCAAUGGGGGAAACCCUGACGCAGCAACGCCGCGUGGAGGAUGAAGUCCCUUGGGACGUAAACUCCUUUCGAUCGGGACGAUUAUGACGGUACCGGAAGAAGAAGCCCCGGCUAACUUCGUGCCAGCAGCCGCGGUAAUACGAGGGGGGCGAGCGUUGUUCGGAAUUAUUGGGCGUAAAGGGCGCGUAGGCGGUCGGAUAAGUCUUGUGUGAAAUCUUCGGGCUCAACUCGAAGUCUGCACAGGAAACUAUCUGGCUUGAGUGUGGGAGAGGUGAGUGGAAUUCCUGGUGUAGCGGUGAAAUGCGUAGAUAUCAGGAGGAACACCUGUGGCGAAAGCGGCUCACUGGACCAC